CACUGCGGCAGCGGGGGAGCGAGCCGAGCCGCCAGACGGGGACUUGGGAGGACGGCGAGGAGGAGGAGCGCGAAGGGAGCCCGGAGGGAGGACCCGGGACCGGGAGGCCGAGCCAGGGAGACUACGGAGACGGGCGAGGCUGGAAGGCAACGAAAGAGAGGGAAGAUGCAGAGGGGAAGUGAAAGUUAGAGAGGCGAGCGAGGAGGAAGAAGAGGGAGGAGCCAGAGAAUAAAGAAAAUAGAGCCGGGGAGCAAAGGCCUCGCGUCUGCUGGUCGCCCGCGGCGCCGAGUUCGCUCCGCGCCUCGCCGGGGAGGCCGCGGGGAUCCCGGCGGGCUGCAGCCCCGGGCGGGCCGAGGCCACACUGGACUCCCAGGUACCAGGAAUGAACUCGUGACCUCCCACUUACCAGAGUCAUUUCAGGAGCCUCCUGAGUCGCCAGGGCCGGCCGGGCCGCAAGGUGGGCAGGAGGAGGCGGAGGCGGGUGCGGGCCAACAUCCGCAGGUGGCUGCUGAGCACUUGAAAAGCAUCCAAUGUAAGUGGAGGAUUAUUUAUUGAAUUAAGCUGGUCUUUGGCAUGACUGUGGCCGGUGGAUACUGUGCUGACCAGCACAGCUCUGGUAGGCCAGUCAGUGUUCACUUUGUGGAAGAAGCCCCCCCUGCAGAGCUGUGCAAGGCCUGUGAGGAGGACAGAGCCCUUCGCUCCCGGUGUCAGCUGCUGCUGGCUCCCCAGCACCAUGAGAACAAAGCCCCACUGCAGUGCUGGGAUCUGAAUCUGUGCCUCACCCAUGCUAGGCAUAUGCUCCACUGCCAAGCUAUGGCCCAGCCCUAUGUUUGUACCUCACUGUGACUCACCCCAAAAGUGCCUAUCACCCCUCUUUGGAGCCUGCCAAAAAUGCACACUGAUCUCUCUAGUGUGGAUACAUGUACACCCAUAUUUGCCAAACACACCUGCACAGUGUGAGAGCAGAUGCCUUGAGCGACAGGCUUCCAGGCAAUCUGGGAUUGGAGAAGCGGAAAUGUAACUGCCAGCAGUCCUUUCUCAGACUCCUUGUGCCGCCCUUCCUACUUAUGUGCUUGUACUAUGACCUGCAAGAAGCAAGAAGAGUCACCACUUUUCUCCACAUAAAUGUGAAGCUGAGACAUGAACAAUAAGUGAGGGCAGCCUCUGGGGCACAGGUUUUUCUUUCAAACACUCCACAAGGAAGGCAGACAAGUGUUAGCUUUCGCCUUUUGUGGAUGAGGCCACUGGGGCACAGGCUGCGGUGCAAAUCAAUGCAUGGAGAACCGUAGAGAAGGAAGCAGAAGCAGGAGGCCACAGCCUUUGAGCAAAACCUCAUCUGCUAGUUGCUGGAGUUCUGUGAUUAAAACUGUGGCUGAGUGUGAUUGACAGCCUGGUGUAUGCUGAGCUUCCUGUGCUAGAACAUGUGUACACUCUAGUUCCCCACCAGUUUCCUUCUGUGAUCACAACGGUAUUUUCCUGCAAGCCUGGACAAAGAGCAAAGGAAUCCAAAGAUUCUCAACCUGAGCUUUUCAGCCCCAGCCUCACGCAUGAGUAAGGAGGGACGAGCAGGCAGAUGCUGAGGAAGCACUGUACUCCAGCCUGCUGCACGUCUCUGGGCUUGUGUGGGCACAG
Octodon degus (degu) is the source of this 1632-nucleotide long non-coding RNA. RefSeq lists it as uncharacterized. The record is from RefSeq and is a predicted model, not a curated record. Lineage: Eukaryota; Metazoa; Chordata; Mammalia; Rodentia; Octodontidae. The transcript has 5 exons.